RNAcentral lists this non-coding RNA (22 nucleotides) under Arabidopsis thaliana (thale cress). The record is from RNAcentral. Lineage: Eukaryota; Viridiplantae; Streptophyta; Magnoliopsida; Brassicales; Brassicaceae.
UAUGCCGUGUAUUACAGAUCGA